UACGGAGGGUGCGAGCGUUGUUCGGAAUCACUGGGCGUAAAGCGCGUGUAGGCGGUCUGCUAAGUCUGAUGUGAAAGCCCGGGGCUCACCCCCGGAAGUGCAUUGGAAACUGACAGACUGGAGUCCCGGAGAGGAGGGUGGAAUUCCUGGUGUAGCGGUGAAAUGCGUAGAUAUUGGGAGGAACAUCGGUGGCGAAGGCGGCUACCUGGACGGGUACUGACGCUGAGGCGCGAAAGCUAGGGGGGCAAACAGG
RNAcentral lists this ribosomal RNA (253 nucleotides) under uncultured bacterium. RNAcentral describes it as "partial 16S ribosomal RNA". It matches the Rfam family "Bacterial small subunit ribosomal RNA", at positions 524 to 776 of the family's 1533-position model. The record is from RNAcentral.